RNAcentral lists this ribosomal RNA (422 nucleotides) under uncultured bacterium. RNAcentral describes it as "bacterial SSU rRNA". It matches the Rfam family "Bacterial small subunit ribosomal RNA", at positions 917 to 1349 of the family's 1533-position model. The record is from RNAcentral.
GGACCCGCACAAGCGGUGGAGUAUGUGGUUUAAUUCGAUGCAACACGAAGAACCUUACCAGGGUUUGAAAUCAUUUCAAAACUCCUUGAAAAAGGAGCCUCCUUCGGGAUGAAAUGACAGGUGGUGCAUGGCUGUCGUCAGCUCGUGUUGUGAAAUGUCGAGUUAAGUCUCGUAACGAGCGCAACCCAUGUCUCUUGUUGCUCACUGAGUGCUUAAGAGAGACUGCCGACCAACAUCGGAGGAAGGUGUGGAUGAUGUCAAGUCAGCAUGCCCCUUACAUCCUGGGCUACACACGUACUACAAUGGUAAGGACAAUGAGCUGCGAUCCUGCGAAGGCUAGCCAAUCUCAAAAACCUUAUCUCAGUUCGGAUUGCACUCUGCAACUCGAGUGCAUGAAGGUGGAAUCGCUAGUAAUCGCUGGU